AGCAUCCCAAAUUUUCCGGUAGGUACAUGUGUGUGUGGUCGUUUAAUCUUGGCGGUCCAUAGGGAUUGUGGUGUCAGUUUCAACAAACAAUGAUAGUAGGUUUUUGUUAUAAUAUAGGCAAAUGUGGGUUAAGAAAGUUUAUAUUGUAGCUGUUUUAAUGUCUCUUUGCUGCCUGUAACUGUCAAAAUCUACAGGGAAGGCCUUCUUCCCCCUACUCACCAAAAAUUAUAUAAAAGAGAUGAUUUGAAACCUGCCCAACGCUAGGUUGGAUGAGAGGACCACCUUUUUUUAUUGCUUGCCAAUUUAGUUUGGUUGUGACUGGGAUUUGACUAUUUUGGCUUUUUUUAUGCACUAUUUUGGCUGUGACUGGGAUUUGACUUGCUGUUAUUGGUCAUUUUUAGCGACUGUUUUUAUUCUGAUUGUAAAAAGGCCUGCAUAGCAUCUCAUGCCAAUUUUUUUUUGGCUGCAUAUGAGCAUUGGGAAACAGUGGAAGGAGUUUCUCGACUACAAUGAGACGAUAGGAUUUAUAUUCCAUGAUGAUGCAAAGAAACUUGACAAAGCUGCCAAGAAUCGGUACACAGUAUGAUUGAUGUGUAUGCCAAGAGGAUGCAAGAUGUUUUCUGGUUGCUGCCUCAUCCUAGAUACCAUUCUAGGGCUUGGUCUGAUGAGUUGUCCCUGCUUUGGACUAUUUUCCAUUUUGUGAAAGAAAUUUACAAUGAUAAGCUGAAUUAGACUUCCUUAA
Non-coding RNA from Corylus avellana, 742 nucleotides. Lineage: Eukaryota; Viridiplantae; Streptophyta; Magnoliopsida; Fagales; Betulaceae. The record is from RefSeq and is a predicted model, not a curated record.